UUUUUUUUUUUUUUUUUUUUGCAUAACCCAUCACUAUCUGUUGAGAACGAUGAAAAUGUCCAAAAGUGACAAGGCACACCAUAAAAGUGAGCCUUAGGGCUCAUUUGCAAAACGAAUUGAGAACCCAGGUGCAGUUCUUGGCCCUGCAGCUCCUGCAAGUUGUGGUGUGGAGAGAAGGUCUUUGCACCAGUGGGCGCUAGCGUUCUGGCUGGAAGAAGGCCUCUGGCAGAGUUGGGCUUAGGGACCUGGCAUUUAUUUUUCUGUCACUGAAGCCACUGUUGCCAAGUUUCACCAUCAUAUGUCACACCUCUCCAGAGCAACUCGAUCUCUGCACAGAGGAGAUGCGUGCCAGGCCCAAUGCAGCAGUGUCCUGCUCGGCCAGCAGCCCUGGACACUCAUGAUGGACGGCCUCAGCCUGGAGGCAAGUGGGAAGGAGAACCCAGCCAAGAGUGCCUCCCAGGGUUGGGGGUCAAGCUGGCCUUUGUAAGAGCUCAGAGACCAACACGGAGCCCCACAGAAUGCCCCCAAGGCCACCUCAUGCCUUUGAGGUCACAGACUCAAGUCCUUGAUGAAAGAGUGGGCAUAGGAGGGGUAUUUUGAUAAGACAAUCCUGUAUUUCUUACCAGAGCAGCUGGGUGCCUCCUACCUCAGGAGGGCCCUGGCAGCCAUCUACAUCCGUAAACCCAGCAGUGGGCUCAGUGAGGAUGCUUAUUAUCUCUAGUACCUCAUGGGCUCAGGGGGCCAAGACCUAUGUUAUUCAUCUGUCACUGCCCAGUGUCCCGCACAGCACCUGCCUCGGUGACUGUUUAUGAACUGAAUGAAGUAGGGGCAUCACGUGGGGCAAAUGGAGGAGCUGAGGUGCCCAGCCAUGGCUGGGCCAAGACCCUGUAGGUCAGCAGCAGGCCCAGGACUCCAGCACAGGCCCUGCGUUCUGGUCAGCUCGGAUGGCAAGCCACUCCGUGCUCCCAGGUGUGUGCUGCUGUCCCCUCCCGGCAGGUAUAAGCAGGUCGACACAGGCACAGCACACCUGCUCAUGCCCCCUUUCCAUUUCCUAAACAGGCUUUAACGCAAAUGCAUUUCGUAGGGCUACUCAUCAAUUGUGGUACUUUUGAGAUGAUGUCCUCAGUUCCCCAACUCCUGAUACCUAUUGUACGUCAGCAAGAACCAUACAAACUCUUGUGUUCUGGGCCUCAUUCUCAGGAAGACUGGGGAGCCUUGAUGCAGCUAGCUAGCGAGGACCCACUUCUGGUUCAUCCAGCAAGGGCCUUCAGACCAAUUCAUGGGGGUACUGGAGACUCUGUGAUAGUAGAAUUCAACAUGUUUUGAACGUCCAGGAAAUUUGUGAACAUUCAGGAAAUAUUUCAACAGCAGGACCCAUGAGGAUGGCUGUCCAAGUUGGUGUAUUUUCUAGAAAAAAAAUAGAGGUGCUAAAUACAGCAGUUGGUUAGUGGCCCACUUCAAAUUGCUAACCACAAACUAUUCCUAGCACAGAAUUCCUUCCCCUUCAUUCAGCAAAUGCACUGAACUAGCUGCUGGAGAUCCAGCAAUGCCUAAGUCAGGGCCUGACACCCCCCACCCAAGUCUACUGGAAAGACCAAUGCACGAGCAGGAAGAUCCUCCCUCUCCCAGAGAGACCGCAGGGAUAAAGCUGAGGGGGAGACACCUCAGUCUACCAGAGGUGUCUCAGGGGAGGCAGGAUCCGAACUGAGCCAUGAAGCACAAAGAGGCAUUUUCCAGGUGGCCUCCAGGUGGACGUGAGAGAGACGAGAGGACAAGAAGUGACCUGCCCAGAGUUCGGGCGCGAUGGCUCACGCCUGUAAUCCCAGCACUUUGGGAGGCCGAGGAGGCCCCACUGCGAAGGGGACGAUGUUUUAAUUCUGGCCUAUUGAAGGGCAAACAGCUAUAGUGAACUUGCUGUCUGCAUUGCUCCAAGAUUCCCAGAGUCGAGCCACAUGCAUUCAUGAUGCCAAUAGAACUGUGAACAGAGCCCAAGCCACCAGGCACUGUCCUCAACCGUCCACCUGUCAGCAGGGCCUGUCACGCAAAUUGAUCUCAAGCCAGGGACUGGAGGAUGUGCCCUUCGACACCUUUCCAAAGAAAAGAAGAAGAAAAAAAAGAUGUAAAGAUAGACCAGAUAAAUAGAUAGCAUCUUUAGGAUGAAGAAAUACAAACAUUAAAAUUUCAUUUGACCUUCAUCUC
Molecule: long non-coding RNA, 2199 nt
Organism: Macaca mulatta (Rhesus monkey)
Lineage: Eukaryota; Metazoa; Chordata; Mammalia; Primates; Cercopithecidae
Source: Ensembl